This 460-nucleotide ribosomal RNA is filed under the name uncultured bacterium. Its description in RNAcentral is "partial 16S ribosomal RNA". It matches the Rfam family "Bacterial small subunit ribosomal RNA", at positions 338 to 795 of the family's 1533-position model. The record is from RNAcentral.
CCUACGGGUGGCAGCAGUGAGGAAUAUUGGUCAAUGGACGCAAGCCUGAACCAGCCAAGUCGCGUGAGGGAUGACGGUCCUAUGGAUUGUAAACCUCUUUUGUCGGGGAGCAAGGCCCGCCACGUGUGGCGGGAAGGAGAGUACCCGAAGAAAAAGCAUCGGCUAACUCCGUGCCAGCAGCCGCGGUAAUACGGAGGAUGCGAGCGUUAUCCGGAUUUAUUGGGUUGAAAGGGUGCGUAGGCGGAAGGUUAAGUCAGCGGUAAAAUGUCGGUGCUCAACACCGGCCUGCCGUUGAAACUGGUCUUCUUGAGUGAGCGAGAAGUAUGCGGAAUGCGUGGUGUAGCGGUGAAAUGCAUAGAUAUCACGCAGAACUCCGAUUGCGAAGGCAGCAUACCGGCGCUCAACUGACGCUGAGGCACGAAAGCGUGGGGAUCGAACAGGAUUAGAUACCCCAGUAGUC